This is a non-coding RNA of Phrynosoma platyrhinos (Desert horned lizard), 71 nucleotides long. Lineage: Eukaryota; Metazoa; Chordata; Lepidosauria; Squamata; Phrynosomatidae. The record is from the annotation of a GenBank genome assembly.
GCCAGUGUGGUGUAGUGGUUUGAGUGUUGGACUACAACUCUAGAGAUCAGGGUUCAAUACUCCGAUUGGCC